Melanotaenia boesemani (Boeseman's rainbowfish) is the source of this 528-nucleotide long non-coding RNA. RefSeq lists it as uncharacterized. The record is from RefSeq and is a predicted model, not a curated record. The transcript is spliced from 4 exons. Lineage: Eukaryota; Metazoa; Chordata; Actinopteri; Atheriniformes; Melanotaeniidae.
ACAGGAUUGUGGAUACAGUUGAGAGAGGAGGGGUUCUGGCCGUGUUUUCCAGGGAUCAGAUAAAGAGAUUACAUGAUGAUCUGAUUAAUGGAAACAUGCGUUCCAACAGAUUGUACCUCUUGAGAAUCCAUCUACCUCUCUCAGGCUUAAACAGCACCUUAAACUAAGGGCGCUGAAUUUAAGUGACCAGCGGAUCUUUGAGCUUCUGAGGGUGAUAGAGGAGGUCAUGGGUCUAGGAGCCAGGAUAAGGAAAGAAGAGAUCAAGCUUCUAGACUUCGUGUUUGAUGUCAUGCUCCCAGAGAUCCUGAUCAGCAUCCUGGACGAUGAAGGACUGACCCGGCUACAAGCUGAGUUAUUAAUGGCUAGAGGGAGACUUUUUUAAGUGUAAACCUCCAUUUUGUUUAUUCAUUUUUCGUUUUUGACUCCUAAUUUUGGAAUAUUCUUUUUUAUUUGCUCAUCAUUUUUGUUAAAGCUUCUACCUUUUGUCCUUAUUCUUAAAAGAUUUAAUAAAGUUAAUUGCAAAUAUGA